This is a small nucleolar RNA of Cynocephalus volans (Philippine flying lemur), 124 nucleotides long. RefSeq annotates it as small nucleolar RNA SNORA72. The record is from RefSeq and is a predicted model, not a curated record. NCBI's taxonomy places the organism in Eukaryota, Metazoa, Chordata, Mammalia, Dermoptera, Cynocephalidae. The transcript has a single exon.
UUCCACAAUAAAAAGAAAUGAGCUAUCAAGCCAUGAAAAGACAUGGAGGUAUAUUAAGACUACCCAUGUAUCCCUAGACCUAGUUCUUUCGAUAGGUCUGGUUUUGUAAAUGCUCGUGAUAAAC